GUAACUGCGAGUGAAGCGGGAAAAGCUCAAAUUUAAAAUCUGGUAGUCUCUGGCUGCCCGAGUUGUAAUCUGGAGAAGUGUUUUCUGUGCUGGGCCGUGUACAAGUCUCUUGGAAUAGAGCGUCAUAGAGGGUGAGAAUCCCGUCUUUGACACGGACAUCCAGUGCUCUGUGAUGCACUCUCAAAGAGUCGAGUUGUUUGGGAAUGCAGCUCAAAAUGGGUGGUAAAUUCCAUCUAAAGCUAAAUAUUGGCAAGAGACCGAUAGCGAACAAGUACCGUGAGGGAAAGAUGAAAAGAACUUUGGAAAGAGAGUUAAACAGUACGUGAAAUUGUUGAAAGGGAAACGCUUGAAGUCAGUCGCGUCUAGCAAGGAUCAGCCUUUCUCGGAAGGUGUAUUUCUUGCUUGACGGGUCAACAUCAAUUUUGAUUACUGGAAAAAGGCCAGAGGAAGGUGGCACCUUCGGGUGUGUUAUAGCCUUUGGUCAUAUACAGUAGUUGGGAUUGAGGAAUUCAGCAUGCCUUCAUGGCUGGGGUUCGCCCACAUUCAUGCUUAGGAUGUUGGCAUAAUGGCUUUAAGCGACCCGUCUUGAAACACGGACCAAGGAGUCUAACAUACCUGCGAGUGUUUGGGUGUAAAAACCCGAGCGCGUAAUGAAAGUGAAAGUUGAGACCCUUUUAAGGGGCAUCGACGCCCGGACCAGACCUUCUGUGACGGAUCUGCGGUAGAGCAUGUAUGUUGGGACCCGAAAGAUGGUGAACUAUGCCUGAAUAGGGUGAAGCCAGAGGAAACUCUGGUGGAGGCUCGUAGCGAUUCUGACGUGCAAAUCGAUCGUCGAAUUUGGGU
This 843-nucleotide ribosomal RNA is filed under the name Agroathelia rolfsii. Its description in RNAcentral is "partial large subunit ribosomal RNA". It matches the Rfam family "Eukaryotic large subunit ribosomal RNA", at positions 83 to 916 of the family's 3401-position model. Lineage: Eukaryota; Fungi; Basidiomycota; Agaricomycetes; Amylocorticiales; Amylocorticiaceae. The record is from RNAcentral.